RNAcentral lists this ribosomal RNA (883 nucleotides) under uncultured bacterium. Its description in RNAcentral is "bacterial SSU rRNA". It matches the Rfam family "Bacterial small subunit ribosomal RNA", at positions 8 to 916 of the family's 1533-position model. The record is from RNAcentral.
AGAGUUUGAUCAUGGCUCAGGACGAACGCUGGCGGCGUGCUUAACACAUGCAAGUCGAGCGGGGCGUAGCAAUACGCCUAGCGGCGGACGGGUGAGUAACACGUGAGUAACCUGCCCUAUGGAGGGGGAUAACACAAAGAAAUUUGUGCUAAUACCGCAUAACACUGAUGCUCCGCAUGAAGUAUCAGUCAAAGAUUUAUCGCCAUAGGAUGGACUCGCGGCGCAUUAGCUAGUUGGUGAGGUAACGGCUCACCAAGGCGACGAUGCGUAGCCGACCUGAGAGGGUGAUCGGCCACAUUGGAACUGAGACACGGUCCAGACUCCUACGGGAGGCAGCAGUGGGGAAUAUUGCACAAUGGGCGAAAGCCUGAUGCAGCAACGCCGCGUGAGCGAUGAAGGCCUUCGGGUUGUAAAGCUCUGUCUUUGGGGACGAAACAAUGACGGUACCCAAGGAGGAAGCCACGGCUAACUACGUGCCAGCAGCCGCGGUAAUACGUAGGUGGCAAGCGUUGUCCGGAAUUACUGGGCGUAAAGAAUGCGUAGGCGGUCUUUUAAGUGGGAUGUGAAAUCCCUGGGCUCAACCCAGGAACUGCAUUCCAAACUGGAAGACUAGAGUGCGGGAGAGGAAAUUGGUAUUCCCAGUGUAGCGGUGAAAUGCGUAGAGAUUGGGAGGAACACCAGUAGCGAAGGCGAAUUUCUGGAACGUAACUGACGCUGAGGCAUGAAAGCGUGGGGAGCAAACAGGAUUAGAUACCCUGGUAGUCCACGCUGUAAACUAUGAGUACUAGGUGUAGGGGGCGAAGCCCUCUGUGCCGCAGUUAACACAAUAAGUACUCCGCCUGGGAAGUACGAUCGCAAGAUUAAAACUCAAAGGAAUUGACGG